GGCCCGUUAGCUCAGUUGGUUAGAGCGUCGUGCUAAUAACGCGAAGGUCGUGGGUUCGAUCCCCCUACGGGCCA
Molecule: transfer RNA, 74 nt
Organism: Helobdella robusta
Lineage: Eukaryota; Metazoa; Annelida; Clitellata; Rhynchobdellida; Glossiphoniidae
Rfam family: tRNA
About the family: Transfer RNA (tRNA) molecules are approximately 80 nucleotides in length.
Source: Rfam